AGGGAAUCUUCCACAAUGGACGAAAGUCUGAUGGAGCAACGCCGCGUGAGUGAAGAAGGGUUUCGGCUCGUAAAGCUCUGUUGGUAGUGAAGAAAGAUAGAGGUAGUAACUGGCCUUUAUUUGACGGUAAUUACUUAGAAAGUCACGGCUAACUACGUGCCAGCAGCCGCGGUAAUACGUAGGUGGCAAGCGUUGUCCGGAUUUAUUGGGCGUAAAGCGAGUGCAGGCGGUUCAAUAAGUCUGAUGUGAAAGCCUUCGGCUCAACCGGAGAAUUGCAUCAGAAACUGUUGAACUUGAGUGCAGAAGAGGAGAGUGGAACUCCAUGUGUAGCGGUGGAAUGCGUAGAUAUAUGGAAGAACACCAGUGGCGAAGGCGGCUCUCUGGUCUGCAACUGACGCUGAGGCUCGAAAGCAUGGGUAGCGAAC
Molecule: ribosomal RNA, 425 nt
Filed under: uncultured bacterium
Lineage: Bacteria
Description: bacterial SSU rRNA
Rfam family: Bacterial small subunit ribosomal RNA
Source: RNAcentral